This is a long non-coding RNA of Taeniopygia guttata (zebra finch), 1641 nucleotides long. NCBI's taxonomy places the organism in Eukaryota, Metazoa, Chordata, Aves, Passeriformes, Estrildidae. The record is from Ensembl.
GCCAGAGCAGGUGUGCCAAGCUACCAUGGAUUGUGCCUGUACUGUUGGUGCCCAGGAUGGGAUGGCUGUGGAGGCAGAGCUGGCUGAGCCCAUUAGCAAAUCUGCUUUCCCUGGUAGGAUCCUUUGUGCCUGGAGGUGCCUCCCAGACUGCUCUCCCGGGGACCUGCAGAGGCAACCUGCCCUUCGGUGUCUGCUGGAGGAACAAGGGGAGAGAGGGAAGAAGAGAUCACACCAUCUGUUGGAUCCAUAUAUUACAACAUUUGCUUCCUGAGUCACAUCUGUGCCAUGCACACAUUGGAGAAACAAGGAGAACACCCCUGUGUACCAUCAAAGUGGAGAAAACCAGACUAAUUCUUCAUGCUGGAAGCCCUCUGAGCAGAAGGCUGAAAGAGCUGUGUGUGAAUGGUCCAAAUUACACCCUCACCACUGGUGUAAGGCUGAUGAAGGCUGGAACAGGGAAGGCAGAAGGGAGACGUGAGGUCUGUCUGCUGAUAUAUGAAGGAAUAUGUUGUGAAGAGAAGAGACCAAUUAUUCUUACUAGCCAACAGGAGAAAUGCAGAGAAUAUUUAGGUCAAGCAUUAGGAGAAAGUUUCUAGCAGGUGUGUUAUUAAUCAGCUAUAAGGCAAGGCACACUUUGGAAAACCAGCCCAGCACUUUGGGUACCAAAUGAGUGUUGUAUGUCUGGAAGAACAGGGAAGUGGGAUGUCGAGGUGUAAGGCUUAAAUCCUGUCCCUGCUUCUGACACUGAGUCAUAGCAGUCCUGUGGAGGGGUACCAUUUUCAGUCCCUUCAGGCAAGUCUAAGCUCUCCACAGCCUAAAUAGGUCUGCUACCCCUAAGGACAGACAUAUAUGUGUAAAGACAUGAGCAAUAUGAAUGUCAGGAACUGCUCACCCAUUGGCUUGGAAUGCUCCUAGAUCAGAUACAGCUGUGCCCACAUUUGGGGUUGUCUCCACUGAGAGAUUACUUGUGGUUCUAGGGAGAGAUGACAUUCAUUUCUCUGUUCACUAGAUGAAAAUGGGUAAAAAUGCCAAAAAAAACCCCUAUUCUUGGAGAAAUUCUAAGUGACCGAAAACCAGUUUUUCAUCUCUGGAAAGUCUAAGAUUUUAAAAAUUUUGUCACAUGACCUGAGGAAAAAUGGAGGAGAAAGUUAUACUAUUGGAAACAUCUACAAAGAGUCUAAAACUGUUUUACUUCCAACUUACCAAGGCAUUUAGCUUCCUCUUUGUGUUAUAUUCAUAUAAUGCAAUAUCAACCUAUUUUUUUCCCCAGCCUUAUCCAAAUGAGAUUCUGUCAUGAAAUUUUUCCUUGAAGAUUUCAGUGCAAUUGGUACUUUUCUGCAAAAUAUGCCAUUUUGGUUCAAUUUGAAUUUUCUCCCAGAAAAUGUUUCUUUCAAAAAUUUUGGGCCAGUGCUGAUUACCAUUAUGCAGCUGCUGCUCCUGCAGCAGAUCCUUUCAAACAUAGCCAGUGAGCAUGCUGGUUUGUAGCCUGUACUAUGUUGCACCAAACAACAUAGCAAAACCACCCUUUAGCUGCAACUGGGAUGGACUGGCGAUGUUGCAGGUGUAACUUAUCAGUUGCUCUCACCAUGAUACCACACUUGUUUCUAUAUCUGGAGUGUGAGGAGGGUGAGCACCAUGAUG